GAUGAACGCUAGCGGCAGGCCUAAUACAUGCAAGACGAACGGCAAGAUUUUUAGCAAUAAGAGUCCUAGAGUGUCGUAAGGGUGCGUAACACGUAUGCAAUCUACCCUCAACAGGAGGAUAGCUCCCCGAAAGGGGAAUUAACACUCCAUAAGAUCACAUAAUGGCAUCAUUGAGUGAUUAAAACUACGGUGGUUGAGGAUGAGCAUGCGCAUGAUUAGUUAGUUGGCGGGGUAAUGGCCCACCAAGACGAUGAUCAUUAGGGGAACUGAGAGGUUGAUCCCCCACACUGGCACUGAGAUACGGGCCAGACUCCUACGGGAGGCAGCAGUAGGGAAUAUUGGACAAUGGGUGCGAGCCUGAUCCAGCCAUGCCGCGUGCAGGAAGACGGCCUUCUGGGUUGUAAACUGCUUUUGCCAGGGGAUAAAACGUCCAUGCGUGGAUAAUUGAAGGUACCUGGUGAAUAAGCCACGGCUAACUACGUGCCAGCAGCCGCGGUAAUACGUAGGUGGCAAGCGUUGUCCGGAUUUAUUGGGUUUAAAGGGUGCGUAGGCGGUUCCAUAAGUCAGUGGUGAAAUACGGCAGCUUAACUGUCGAGGUGCCAUUGAUACUGCGGAACUUGAGUACAGACGAGGUAGGCGGAAUUGACGGUGUAGCGGUGAAAUGCUUAGAUAUCGUCAAGAACACCGAUAGCGAAGGCAGCUUACUAGACUGUAACUGACGCUGAGGCACGAAAGUGUGGGGAUCAAACAGGAUUAGAUACCCUGGUAGUCCCCGCUGUAAACGAUGAUUACUCGAUGUUGGCGAUACACAGCCAGCGUCUUAGCGAAAGCGAUAAGUAAUCCACCCUGGGAGUACGCCCGCAAGGGUG
RNAcentral lists this ribosomal RNA (869 nucleotides) under uncultured bacterium. RNAcentral describes it as "bacterial SSU rRNA". It matches the Rfam family "Bacterial small subunit ribosomal RNA", at positions 28 to 896 of the family's 1533-position model. The record is from RNAcentral.